This 893-nucleotide small RNA is filed under the name Pongo abelii (Sumatran orangutan). Its description in RNAcentral is "retained intron". The record is from RNAcentral. Lineage: Eukaryota; Metazoa; Chordata; Mammalia; Primates; Hominidae.
CGGCCUCCUCGCGUCUUAAAACUCCUGAGCUCUAGGAAGUGGAACUGUUAGCCCUCCGUUUAUUGCCUUACUUCACACUGAAAUAAGCCAACGUUUAUUUUAUUUUAUUUAUUUUAUUAUUUAUUUAUUUUUUAUUUUUUUUCGAGACGGAGUCUCGCUCUGUCCCAGGCCUGAGUGCCGUGGCGGGAUCUCGGCUCACUGCAACCUCCGCCUCCGUCUUCAAGCUGUUUUCCUACCUCAGCCUCCCGAGUAGCUGGGAUUACAGGUGCCCGCCACCACGCCCGGCUAAUUUUUGUAUUUUUAGUAGAGAUAGGGGUUCACCAUGUUGGCCAGGCUGGUCUCGAACUUCUGACCUCGUGAUCCUCCCGCCUUAGCCUCCCAAAGUGCUGGGAUUACAGGCGUGAGCCACCACGCCCAGCCCCCAACGUUCAUUUUUAAGCCUGUCAUAUCUCACAUUAAAUGUGUAAGUCUCUGAACUGUAGGGCUUUAAACAAAGGAAAGUUCCAUGAGAAUACUAUAUGAUGCCAAUUUCUACUGUUAGGAACGCAACAACAGAGUGCAGUGGGGGAGAAAAUACGGUCCUCAAUAUCUGAGAAACUGGAGAGGAAAAGUCACAGGACCACCAACUUCUCUAUGACAUAGCUGAGCAUCUGAGAAAAGUCCUGCAAUAGUGGAGGUGGAGCAGAGGGUAUGAGCUGGGAAACAAAUGGAGCAGGAGCUGGAGGCUGCCCCGUCCACUCCAAGCCAGAGAACAAGCAGAGGCUGCCACAGGAGAUCCUGGGCAAGUAAUCAGCCACAGCAUCUAGAUUAGCAUGAAGGAAACGCUGGCCAAAUUAAAAGAUGAAACUUCCAAAAGGUAAAUCUCUGUGUAUUCAUGCCUAAUCUUCCAAGGU